AAUGAACGCUGGCGGCAGGCCUAACACAUGCAAGUCGAGCGGUAGCACAGGAGAGCUUGCUCUCCGGGUGACGAGCGGCGGACGGGUGAGUAAUGUCUGGGAAACUGCCUGAUGGAGGGGGAUAACUACUGGAAACGGUAGCUAAUACCGCAUAACGUCGCAAGACCAAAGAGGGGGACCUUCGGGCCUCUUGCCAUCAGAUGUGCCCAGAUGGGAUUAGCUAGUAGGUGGGGUAACGGCUCACCUAGGCGACGAUCCCUAGCUGGUCUGAGAGGAUGACCAGCCACACUGGAACUGAGACACGGUCCAGACUCCUACGGGAGGCAGCAGUGGGGAAUAUUGCACAAUGGGCGCAAGCCUGAUGCAGCCAUGCCGCGUGUAUGAAGAAGGCCUUCGGGUUGUAAAGUACUUUCAGCGGGGAGGAAGGUGUUGUGGUUAAUAACCACAGCAAUUGACGUUACCCGCAGAAGAAGCACCGGCUAACUCCGUGCCAGCCGCCGCCGUAA
RNAcentral lists this ribosomal RNA (506 nucleotides) under uncultured bacterium. RNAcentral's name for it is "partial 16S ribosomal RNA". It matches the Rfam family "Bacterial small subunit ribosomal RNA", at positions 29 to 523 of the family's 1533-position model. The record is from RNAcentral.